ACGCCGGUAGCCCAGGCAUCGCUGACAGCCGCUGACUCUUAAUCAGCGGGUCCGGGGUUCGAGCCCCUGACGGCGCACCA
RNAcentral lists this transfer RNA (80 nucleotides) under Mycobacteroides abscessus subsp. abscessus. RNAcentral describes it as "tRNA-Lys(ctt)". The record is from RNAcentral. Lineage: Bacteria; Bacillati; Actinomycetota; Actinomycetes; Mycobacteriales; Mycobacteriaceae.